ACUUCCGCUGGCGUCAGGCGGGUGGGCUGCUGCGAUCACUUCCCGGUUGGGGCGCCGAGCUCCGGAGUCGGCCGCCAGCCUUUGGGCCCCACGCUCCGGGUCUGGUGCGCGGUCUGGCCGCGCUCGGGCCCUCGCCAAAUGAGAGCGCAGCGCCUCUCCGCCUUCGGAUCCAGAGAAAGAGCUUGUUGCUGCCUCUAAAAGGUUGGAGCCUUAGUAAGCGGUUCCUGCCUUUCCUGCACAGACCAGACCGCCGGGUGCUGGUCUGCGCUCUGCCGCGCGCCGACUGGGACAGCCCACCCACGAGAUCCUUGUUCCUGAAAUCCCUUUCCUUCCCUCAUCUGCCAAGAAAACUUUCAACUUUUGGGCUCUCCGCGCCUCCCAAGCUUCCUCGAAUCCCUGGGCCCUUGACUGUUCUGCCCUGAUGGCACUUGGUGAGAGAUCCAUUGAGAGCCCUUUCCGUGCCUUCCUGAAUAUUGAUAUGUUUUCCAGCCUCUCCUCCUGCGCUGGCCCAAGGACUCAUUUUCCGUCCCUGCUUCCUCACUAAAAAGAGGGUGCCCAAUAAUUGCUUGUUCCAUACAGAAGGCAGGGAGGCCGUCUCUAGGUUUUCUCCCACUCAGAUCUGCUGUCCUCACAGCCACCUCCCCAAGAGGAAUGAAGUUAGGGAAAUUGACUCGACUCGGAACUCGAGGACCUUUCACAAGAGACCACUGGGUUAGGGGGCAGAGCUGGUAAUAGAAUCCAGCGCUCCGAACCCUGAAUCAUGUCCUCUUUUUGCUGCUGAGGCUCAGGCCACAGCACCCCAAAUUAUGACUGUAGAAUACCAAAAUAUGCUAUCCCAAAAUACACUUGUUUGGCACAUUUCAAGCUGGUUAUUCUGAGAAACUGCAGACACGGGAGUAGCUCUGAAAAGCUGUCCUUUUGUAAAGCAAAUUUACAUCUAUAAAGGAAGUCCACAUAGUAAAAGUAUCUGUGUCAGGAAGGCAGCUGCUCAGAGAACUUUUAUUACAUGAGAGACUUUACAUAACAAGGCAACUUUUUUUUUUUUUUUUUUUUUUUUUUUUGAGGCAGAGUCUCGCUCAGUCGCCCAGGCUGGAGUGCAUUGGCAUGAUCCCGGCUCACUGCAACCUCCGCCCCCCGGGUUCAAGCGAUUCUCCGGCCUCAGCCUCUGAAGUAGCCGGGAUUACAGGCGCGCGCCACCGCGCCCGGGUAAUUUUUGUAUUUUUAGUAGAGACGGGGUUUCACCAUGUUGGUCAGGCUGGUCUCGAACUCCUGACCUCGUGAUCCGCCCACCUCGGCCUCCCAAAGUGCUGGGAUUACAGGUGUGAGCCACCGCGCGCAGCCACAAGGCAACAUUAUUUACCAUACAUUUCCUCCACUAACCCUCCUAUAUCCUACCUGUGGUGCCUCCCCACUGUCCCCACAGAAGCCCCAAGCCCUUAUUUAUUUCUAGCUCAGAAUGCUAUAAGCUUCAAUCAUCUGGCCCUUCAUGUUUUGUGAGAUUCCUGUGCUGCUGCGUAUGCAGGUAAUUAAAACGGUUUUUCUUCUGUUAAUCUGUCUUAUGUCGGCCAGGCGUGGUGGCUCAUGCCUGUAAUCCCAGCACUUUGGGAGGCCGAGGUGGGCGGAUCACGAGGUCAGGAGUUUGAGACCAGCCUGACCAACAUGGUGCAACCCCAUCUCUACUAAAAAUACAAAAGAAGUAGCCGGGCGAGGUGGUGCGCACCUGUAAUCCCAGUUACUCAGAAGCUGAGGCAGGAGAAUCGCUUGAACCCAGGAGGCGGAAGUUGCAGUUAGCCGAGAUUGUGCCACAGCACUCCAGCCUGGGCGACAGAGCAAGAUACCGUCUCAAAAAAAAAAAAAAAAAUCUCUGUUAUGUCAAUUUAAUUUGCAAUCCAAGUAAAGAACCUAGAAGGGUAGAGGGAAGCCAUUUUUCCCUCCCCUACAUUGCUAGUUCCAUGCCAAUGUGAGAGGACUCUGAGAAUGUGGAUGUCUGCCACCUGGAGAAAGAGUCUUAAUAACCUGGGCACUUGGCCAGGCACGGUGGCUCACACCUGUCAUCCCAGCAUUUUCAGAGGCAAAGGUGGGUGGAUCACCUGUGGUUAGGAGUUCAAGACCAGCCUGGCCAACAUGGCGAAACCCUGUCUCUACUAAAAAUACAAAAAUUAGCCAGGCAGGGUGGUGGGCACCUGUAAUUUCAGCUACUCAGGAGGCUGAGGCAGGAGAAUCACUUGAACCCAGGAGGCGGAGGUUGCAGUUAGCCUAGAUGGUGCCAUUGCACCCCAGCCUGGGCAACAAGAGCAAAAUUCUAUCUCAAUAGAUAAAUAAAUAAAUAACCUGGGGACUUGUAGCCUCUAUUGAAAGGUACCAGAAAAGGAUAAAGCCUGAGUUUUCAAGCCAGGAAGUUGCAAAUUCUAACUCUACCAAGAAGUAGCUGGGUGACCUCCAAGCCUCAGUUUCCUCAUCUUCAAAACCAGGUUAAUAGUGUCAGAGGCAUUUGAACCAGAGAGACUCCAUCUUGAAUAGGGACUGGGUAAAAUAAGGCUGUGACCUGCUGGGCUGUAUUCCCAGGAAGUUAAGGCAUUCUUCGAGGAUGAGAUGGUGGGGGUCAGCACAAGAUACAGGUCACAAAGACCUUGCUGGUAAAAUAGGAUGUAGUAAAGGAGCCGGCCAAAACCCAUCAAAAUCAAGAUGGCGACCAAAGUGAGCUCUGGUCGUGCCCACUGCUCAUUAUACACUAAUUAUAAUUCAUUAGCAUGCUAAAAGACACUCCCACCAGCACCAGGACAGUUUACAAACAUCAGGAAGUUACCCUAUAUGGUCUAAAGGAGGAGGAACCCUCAGUUCUGGGAAUUGCCCAUCCCUUUCGCGGAAAACUCAUGAAUAAUCCACCCCUUGUUUAGCAUAUAAUCAAGAAAUAACUAUAAUUAGUUGAGCAGCCCAUGCUGCAGCUCUGCCUAUGGAGUAGCCAUUCUUUACCUCCUUUACUUCUCUAAUAAAUUUGAUUUCACUUUAUGGACUUGCCCCAAAUUCUUUCUUGCGUGAGGUUCAAGAACCCUCUCUUGUGGACUGGAUGAGGACCCCACUCUGGUAACAAUAUACUUUUUGUCCAGUCACAUUUCUACAUGGCUGUCCAUACUCUGUUGAAUGUAAGCAUAAGAAUGGACAAUUUUGCUGUAUCUUUGGAUCUUCAUUCUGAAGGCUCCCAUGGCAUGUAAAACUAUGAUCAAAUAAAUUUGUAUGCCUUUUUUCCUUUUAAUCUGCCUUGUCGGUUGAUUUUCAGUGAAACUUCAGAGGGUAAAGGGGAAGUUUGCCCUUCACCCCUACAUGGUCAAGCUCAAGAUACCAAAAGACAUCAGCUGAAAAUUCAAUCAACUUGCCUGAAUCAUCCACCCCAAGCUUAGGAAGCAUGCUUGAACCCACCUGGCCAAGGCUGGUUUUGCCGGCCAAAGUCCAAGGCCAAGGCUCCAACCAAAGCCCAGACUUCAGUUGCAGCUCCAGUUCCAGUUCCAGUUCCAGCUCCAGUUCCAGUUCCAGUUCCAGCUCCAGAUCAAAUUUCCAAGGGUGCCCAUGCACACCCACAAAGGAUCUGGAGGAGAGGCCUCUGUCUACCAAUGGGAGGACAGAAGGACUGGUGUGAGCCCUGGGCUGCCAUCUGUUUCUGCAUGGAGCUGGUACCAUUCUUUUCUAUUUAUACAAACAAACAUGAGGCAGGAUCUGUCCAUUAAAAAAAAGAGGCCGGGCACAGUGGCUCAUGCCUAUAAUCCCAGCAUUUUAGGAGGCCGAGGUGGGUAAAUCACCUGAGGUUGGGAGUUCGAGACCAGCCUGGCCAAUAUGGUGAAACCUCUUCUCUACUAAAAAUACAAAAAUUAGCCGAGCGUCGCGGCACAUCUUUAAUCCCAGCUCCUCAGGAGGCUGAGGCACAAGAAUCACUUGAACCCAGGAGGUGGAGGUUGCAGUAAGCCGAGAAAACACCACUACACUCCAGCCUAGGCGACAGAAUGAGGCUCCAUCUUGAAAAGAAAAAGAAAAUUAAAAAGAAACAGUCUAUACAGGCUCAUUCCCUUUCCCCACUCAGAGUUUUUUCAAAGGAAUGUGGCCAGAUCUGGAGGUUUACCUGCCUUCUGGCUCUGAGGACUUUGCAGUUACUAUUUAAGGUCUGGUUAAUAGCUUCCUUUGCAUCGUGGUUGGUUAACAAGAGUAG
Molecule: long non-coding RNA, 4198 nt
Filed under: Homo sapiens (human)
Lineage: Eukaryota; Metazoa; Chordata; Mammalia; Primates; Hominidae
Description: non-protein coding lnc-SPZ1-1:5
Source: RNAcentral